GUGAAUACGUUCCCGGGUCUUGUACACACCGCCCGUCACACCACGAGAGUUUGUAACACCCGAAGCCGGUGGAGUAACCUUUUAGGAGCUAGCCGUCGAAGGUGGGACAAAUGAUUGGGGUGAAGUCGUAACAAGGUAGCCGUAUCGGAAGGUGCGGCUGGAUCACCUCCUUUCUAAGGA
Molecule: ribosomal RNA, 180 nt
Filed under: Staphylococcus aureus
Lineage: Bacteria; Bacillati; Bacillota; Bacilli; Caryophanales; Staphylococcaceae
Description: partial 16S ribosomal RNA
Rfam family: Bacterial small subunit ribosomal RNA
Source: RNAcentral